This 838-nucleotide long non-coding RNA is filed under the name Trifolium pratense (red clover). Its description in RNAcentral is "long non-coding RNA (TPRA_LNC000984)". Lineage: Eukaryota; Viridiplantae; Streptophyta; Magnoliopsida; Fabales; Fabaceae. The record is from RNAcentral.
GAAAAUAAAACACUUAAAGAAAUCAGAUCUGAUAAAAUACAAUAAAAGAGAAUGGCCAAAAAAUGUUAACAUAUCAAUUUCACCACUACCACCAUCCACACCAUCAUCACCAUAACAAUUUUCAACAACAAUUCUCUCUACAACAAUUUAUGAGUUAAAUAAUGAUUUAUGGGUUUGUGAAUUUUUGGGUUAUAGAUUUUAAUUUAUGGGUUAAAGAAUGAUUCACGGUAUUGUUGUUGUGAAAAUUAAGCUACUUUCUUAGUGUUGUUUUUGUUCGAAUUAGCAUGGUGGUGGUGGUGUUCUUGUUGUUUAAUUUUUUCCAUGAUAUUGCUUUUGAAUGAACUAGGGUUAUUUUGCCCCUUUUUAAUUGUUGUACCAGAGAAAGAGGGAGAUGAAGAUGAAAAAUAAUUAAGAUGAACAAAAAUCCAACAUUUUGUAAUUCAAUAAUGAAAUUUUGGAUUUUGAAGAAUAAAUUCUGGCUUUUUUAUGAAUAUCAUGAAGAUGAUGAUGAAGAUGAAGGAGUUGAGCGAAGAAGAUGAAGAAAUAGAAACAAAACUUAGUUGGUGAUGGUGCACUGUUAGAUUCUGUGGACAUGCAAAAUCUAAUGGUUGUUUCUCUUUCAAAAGAUCCAAUGGUUAAAAUUAAAAAAUAUAUUGUAGUAUAUGGUGGACCACCUAUAAUAUUGAUCACCUAAUAUAUUUGUGGUUGAUAAAUUAACGGAAAGGACCAAUGUGACAAACAGAGAUAUCUUUAAGGGACCAAUCCGGUCCUUUUUUUCUUUAAGGGACCAUUAUGAAAUCUAAAAUAUCUUUAAGGGACCAAAAAACUAAUUAAGCCU